UGGAACUUUGAACUUGAGAGAGAUGAUUUAGGGUAUCUGGCAGAAGAAAUUUCUAAGUGGCAAAGUGUUCAAGAAGAAGCAGAAAGCCUAAAGCAGGAUCCUCCCAUGAAGAAAGUAUCCAAAGAGAGGAGAUUUCUUAAAACAAUAACUAUAAGGUAAAAAAUGAAGCCACAGGGAUGCCAAACCCCUUUGCCAUAUUGGAAGUUUUAGCCCUUAACAUUGGAACCCAGCAGUGCUUUUAACCUUGGUCUACAUAAUCUUUCUUCAUGGUUUUGGUGAAAGAGGAAGCCUCAGGCCUCCUUUGAAGCCUGCAAUGUAGUACAAAUAAUAAUCAUCCUAUGGGAGCAUAUAGUAUAGGCAUUAACCAGGUAUUAAGGGUGAUAGAAUUUAUUUAAGCCAUUUUCAAACUUUUUCUGUAUUUUUUAGUCAAUACUAUCAUUUAAAGUAGUGAAUUGGUGAGUUGGACUGAAAAUCAACUUAAAUUCAGUUUUUCUGACCAGUGGCUAUAUUAUACUUAAUUUAGUUCUGAAAGACCAUUAUAUUUAUUUCUUUGUUUUAUUUUCAAAUCAAGUUCCCAUGGUGGUCCCUUUUACUGAAAAAAUAAUCAGAUAAUCAUUUCAGAGCCACUAAAUUGUGCAAACCAGAAACACUACUGAAUUAGUCGGUACUCCACAUUUGCAAGUAGAAGAAACCCAAGUCAGAUUAAUUUAAAUAAGAAAGGAUGCUGCAUUAAUUAACAAUGAAGAAGGGACCUCAAGUGAUGUCACCAGCAAUCAAUCUAUCCUGCUUUCUUUCCCAGUGCUGCUUUUCUUCACUUCGACUUUAUUCUCAGCAAAAGUCCUGGAUGCGCUUCCCAUUGGGGGAAGUUCCCACUGGUUGAUUCAAGCCUCAAGCUCAUCUAGGUCCGGUUGAACUAAAAGCAGGGUAUGAUUUUUAUUUGUGCAAAGAACUGAGGGAUGAAAAGUUUUGCCAGCAGACAUAGAACUGGUCUAAGGAAGUUACUGGCCUAGACUCUGCUCUAGUGGAGAGUCAAGAAAACUUUGCUUUUGAGUUAUUUACAGCUUGUCGCGAUUGAGUAAAGUAUGCUCCUGUGAACAAAUUUGGAUUUCUGUGUCUCAACCUGAUUUCUCUAGAAUGUGGAAACUAUUUUUGGACUGAAUUCUGAAAUUUUUCCUGGUGAAACAGACUGCAGAUUGAAUUCCCACAUAGGCAAUUCCAGAAUUCUUAUGAGACAUGCAUUAGGACAUCAGCAACAGGUGGUGCCAAAAAUAAAAAGCAGAUUAAUUUUAAAUGGGAUGAUUUUAUUGAAUUGUAGACUAAAGAACUACAUAGACCAAUGCGCCAUAUUCUAUCUUGCCUUUUCUUGGCUUCCUUCUAGGAGACUCAUUAUUUUUGGCUACAGAAGAUGGUUGCUUAUACCAGAAAGAAAAUGAGAACUACUAAUAAUACUUCAUUUUUAUUCAUCAAAGAGAAUAAUUACAGAACUGAAGAAGAGAGAGCAAACACGGUAAAAAACAUAGUACAAACAAGAUAAAACAUACUCAAAGCAGAAUAGAUGGAGGCAAGAGUCGUCAAAACUACUAAGAACCCAGAGAGAAAAUAUCAUCCCUUAUCACCAAUGGAGAGAACAACACUGCCGCUUUCUCCCUUUGGGGGUCAACCUGACUACCCAGCCUGAGAUACAAAGGAAUAAUUUAGAAGCUAUGUGGGGACGAUUUUCAUAACUGUUUGGUAAAUUAUUCUUCUGAUAUUUUGUUUGGGGAUGACUGGGAGUCAUGCCUACAUUUCUUUUAAUGGAGCCAUAGUUAUUUUUCUUCAGAUAAUCACAUCUAGUGAAGAAAACUCCUAGAUAGUUCUGUUGCCAUAGAAUAGAUAUUAAAUUUGAUCAGAUGUAAAAGAAGAAUAUGGGGUUCUUAAAAACCUCUUGAGUUUGAAAUGCAGAGUAGAGAUAAAGAUAGUUAAAAGCAGUGUUGGCUGUGUCUCUGUUGACCACAGAGGGUUAUAAAGCAAAGACUAUUGCUAUUGUAAAAAGCAAAUGUAAAAACUAUUGUA
Macaca mulatta (Rhesus monkey) is the source of this 2052-nucleotide long non-coding RNA. RefSeq lists it as uncharacterized. The record is from RefSeq and is a predicted model, not a curated record. Lineage: Eukaryota; Metazoa; Chordata; Mammalia; Primates; Cercopithecidae.